UCAAGGGAACCUUCCUCAAACUUCUACCAAUCUGAAACUUAGCCAAAUGCAUCUGUAUCCCCCUAGCUCCCAUCGACACGGAACUCAAAACCUCAAGAGAAGUAGAGAAAACACACCAAUGACAGCUUUGGUUUGUGCAAAUAAAAAAGGACAAGUUGUUGCACCAAACUUCUUUGAUGUGUUCCUCAUUGUUUUUGGCGAAG
RNAcentral lists this unclassified non-coding RNA (203 nucleotides) under Hevea brasiliensis (rubber tree). Lineage: Eukaryota; Viridiplantae; Streptophyta; Magnoliopsida; Malpighiales; Euphorbiaceae. The record is from RNAcentral.